UCCUUGGUGGCUCAGAUGGUAAAGCAUCUGCCCGCAAUACAGGAUACCCAGGUUUGAUUCCUGGGUCGGGAA
Transfer RNA from Ovis aries (sheep), 72 nucleotides. It matches the Rfam family "tRNA". From Rfam's summary of the family: Transfer RNA (tRNA) molecules are approximately 80 nucleotides in length. Their secondary structure includes four short double-helical elements and three loops (D, anti-codon, and T loops). The record is from Rfam. NCBI's taxonomy places the organism in Eukaryota, Metazoa, Chordata, Mammalia, Artiodactyla, Bovidae.